RNAcentral lists this ribosomal RNA (380 nucleotides) under uncultured fungus. RNAcentral describes it as "eukaryotic LSU rRNA". The stretch from base 1 to 125 matches the Rfam family "5.8S ribosomal RNA", at positions 30 to 154 of the family's 154-position model. Lineage: Eukaryota; Fungi. The record is from RNAcentral.
GCAUCGAUGAAGAACGCAGCGAAAUGCGAUAAGUAAUGUGAAUUGCAGAAUUCAGUGAAUCAUCGAAUCUUUGAACGCACCUUGCGCUCCUUGGUAUUCCGAGGAGCAUGCCUGUUUGAGUGUCGUGUAAUUCUCAACCUAUAAAUCCUUGUGGUUUUUAGGCUUGGACUUGGAGGCUUUUGCUGGCUUUACCGUCGGCUCCUCUUAAACGCAUUAGCUUGAUUCCUUGCGGAUCGGCUCUCAGUGUGAUAAUUAUCUGCGCUGUGACCGUGAAGCGUUUGGCGAGCUUCUAACCGUCUCUUCGAGACAAACACUUUGACAUCUGACCUCAAAUCAGGUAGGACUACCCGCUGAACUUAAGCAUAUCAAUAAGCGGAGGA